GGGCGCAGCCUGAUCCAGCCAUACCGCGUGGGUGAAGAAGGCCUUCGGGUUGUAAAGCCCUUUUGUUGGGAAAGAAAAGCAUUCGGUUAAUACCCGGGUGUUCUGACGGUACCCAAAGAAUAAGCACCGGCUAACUUCGUGCCAGCAGCCGCGGUAAUACGAAGGGUGCAAGCGUUACUCGGAAUUACUGGGCGUAAAGCGUGCGUAGGUGGUGGUUUAAGUCCGUUGUGAAAGCCCUGGGCUCAACCUGGGAAUUGCAGUGGAUACUGGGUCACUAGAGUGUGGUAGAGGAUAGUGCAAUUUCC
RNAcentral lists this ribosomal RNA (305 nucleotides) under uncultured Pseudoxanthomonas sp. RNAcentral describes it as "bacterial SSU rRNA". It matches the Rfam family "Bacterial small subunit ribosomal RNA", at positions 373 to 671 of the family's 1533-position model. The record is from RNAcentral. Lineage: Bacteria; Pseudomonadati; Pseudomonadota; Gammaproteobacteria; Lysobacterales; Lysobacteraceae.